RNAcentral lists this ribosomal RNA (465 nucleotides) under Vreelandella stevensii. Its description in RNAcentral is "partial 16S ribosomal RNA". It matches the Rfam family "Bacterial small subunit ribosomal RNA", at positions 338 to 795 of the family's 1533-position model. Lineage: Bacteria; Pseudomonadati; Pseudomonadota; Gammaproteobacteria; Oceanospirillales; Halomonadaceae. The record is from RNAcentral.
CCUACGGGUGGCAGCAGUGGGGAAUAUUGGACAAUGGGGGCAACCCUGAUCCAGCCAUGCCGCGUGUGUGAAGAAGGCCCUCGGGUUGUAAAGCACUUUCAGUGAGGAAGAACGCCUGGUGGUUAAUACCCAUCAGGAAAGACAUCACUCACAGAAGAAGCACCGGCUAACUCCGUGCCAGCAGCCGCGGUAAUACGGAGGGUGCGAGCGUUAAUCGGAAUUACUGGGCGUAAAGCGCGCGUAGGUGGCUUGAUAAGCCGGUUGUGAAAGCCCCGGGCGCAACCUGGGAACGGCAUCCGGAACUGUCAAGCUAGAGUGCAGGAGAGGAAGGUAGAAUUCCCGGUGUAGCGGUGAAAUGCGUAGAGAUCGGGAGGAAUACCAGUGGCGAAGGCGGCCUUCUGGACUGACACUGACACUGAGGUGCGAAAGCGUGGGUAGCAAACAGGAUUAGAUACCCUGGUAGUC